ACCAUCCUUUUCUUGGGGUUGCGCUACUGUCCCAUGAGCGCAUAGUGAGGGCAGUACUGCUAACCCUAAACACACACUGGCAUCAACUAUAGAUUUGCUUUACAUUGGUGCAAGUUUGGGAAAA
RNAcentral lists this non-coding RNA (124 nucleotides) under Aotus nancymaae (Ma's night monkey). Its description in RNAcentral is "U4atac minor spliceosomal RNA (ENSANAG00000000260.1)". It matches the Rfam family "U4atac minor spliceosomal RNA". Rfam says of the family: U4atac is an essential component of the minor U12-type spliceosome complex which is required for removal of the rarer class of eukaryotic introns (AT-AC, U12-type). These interacting stem loops have been shown to be required for in vivo splicing. U4atac also contains an 3' Sm protein binding site which has been shown to be essential for splicing activity. The record is from Rfam by way of RNAcentral. Lineage: Eukaryota; Metazoa; Chordata; Mammalia; Primates; Aotidae.